Molecule: long non-coding RNA, 1188 nt
Organism: Alligator mississippiensis (American alligator)
Lineage: Eukaryota; Metazoa; Chordata; Crocodylia; Alligatoridae
Exons: 3
Source: RefSeq, a predicted model, not a curated record
CCAAAUGUCAAUGACUGUCUGAGUCACUGGGGUGUAUGAAUGAGAGAACCUGACACAGCAAAUACAUUACUGAAGUUUCAUGCCUCAAUUUAGUGCUCUCCAUGACCUCAUCCAAGCUGCUGAUGAAGACAUUGAAUAGCACAGGUCCAAGGACCAAGCCUUGGGGGACCACACUGCGCACAUCUUUAUGUCACGGUGAACUCUAAACAUGCAGUUGGAAAUCUUGCAAGAAGGGUUAUCCAUGCAUUGCAGAAGAGGAAGAAAUGCUAACCUAGAAGCCUUUUUCUGACCAAGAGUGAAUCGGAUGAUUUUGCUUUGAGAUGAGUCCCUGGGUGACACACUGCACAAUGGGAAAGAAAAAGUGGAAGACAUGAGUGAGCAAAGAAGAAACAGUCAAAGAAAGCUCCUGAACUCAGCCAGUGGUUUUAGAAAGCCAAGGGGUUUUUUAUAUUCAUUUCACAAGAGCUUCAUUCCUAGGUAGAACUCCUCAGACUUGAUUCGUUUUCUAUAGUCUGUGUUUAGUUUCAUAUUCAGUAAUUAAGACAUAAAAGUAUGCUACAUUGAGCCUAUAUUUGUGAGAGCAAAAAUCAAACUUUAUCAUUAAUUUAUUUUUCAAACCGUUAUUAUAUGCAAUGAGGAACCUGUGUAAGCUAAUAAUGCUAAUAUACACUAUCUGUGAAUUUAUGCUACCCCUAUAGAAAUCUUCAAAUUAGAAGUUUGUUUUUGAUUGUUUCUAGAUCAUUACUUAGACCUUAAUCCACUUACCAGAAUAUGUUGCAAUCACCAACCCAAUGUUUAAUAUAUUCAGUGCUUCUCUGCCACAAAGAAAUGAUCAUUGAAAUGUAUUCUUGAUGUUCAACUUAAAUUUUUAUAUAGGAGAACUUUUGUAUAGAAACCUAUGAAAAUUUCAUAUGGCUGUAAAAAUACUGUCUGUAUAUAAUUAUAGAGAAAACACCACUUUGUUCAAUGCUUUGUUGAAUCUAUUAAAAGGCACGGUUUUUGCUGUAAGGCAAAAGACUAAAAGCUCUGACAACUGUCCCAGUUAACAAGAUUCAGGUUAAGGAUGUAUAUUAGGGUGUGCGAAACGGGCCAUAUUCGAUUCAGAUUCUACCUAAAUAGGGGACAGUGAUUCAAUUAGUUGAUUCAGAUCACUAUCCAAAUCUGAAGAUUCGAUACUGAUUCGGAGAA